This 253-nucleotide ribosomal RNA is filed under the name uncultured bacterium. Its description in RNAcentral is "partial 16S ribosomal RNA". It matches the Rfam family "Bacterial small subunit ribosomal RNA", at positions 524 to 776 of the family's 1533-position model. The record is from RNAcentral.
UACGUAGGGUGCGAGCGUUGUCCGGAAUCAUUGGGCGUAAAGCGCGUGUAGGCGGCUCGGUAAGUCCGCUCUGAAAGUCCGGGGCUCAACCCCGGGAGGCGGGUGGAUACUGUCGAGCUAGAGUCCGGAAGAGGCGAGUGGAAUUCCUGGUGUAGCGGUGAAAUGCGCAGAUAUCAGGAGGAACACCAAUGGCGAAGGCAGCUCGCUGGGACGGUACUGACGCUGAGACGCGAAAGCGUGGGGAGCAAACAGG